AUUGAACGCUGGCGGCGUGCCUAACACAUGCAAGUCGAGCGGUAACAGGUGUAGCAAUACAUGCUGACGAGCGGCGGACGGGUGAGUAACGCUUGGGAAUCUGCCUGUUAGUGGGGGACAACCCGGGGAAACUCGGGCUAAUACCGCAUACGCACUACGGUGGAAAGCCGGGGACCGCAAGGCCUGGCGCUAACAGAUGAGCCCAAGUCGGAUUAGCUAGUUGGUAGGGUAACGGCCUACCAAGGCGACGAUCCGUAACUGGUCUGAGAGGACGACCAGUCACACCGGAACUGAGACACGGUCCGGACUCCUACGGGAGGCAGCAGUGGGGAAUAUUGGACAAUGGGCGAAAGCCUGAUCCAGCGACGCCGCGUGGGUGAAGAAGGCCUGCGGGUUGUAAAGCCCUUUCGGUGGGGAAGAAAAGCCUCGAGUUAACACCGUCGGGUC
This 447-nucleotide ribosomal RNA is filed under the name uncultured bacterium. RNAcentral's name for it is "bacterial SSU rRNA". It matches the Rfam family "Bacterial small subunit ribosomal RNA", at positions 29 to 469 of the family's 1533-position model. The record is from RNAcentral.